AGGAUCACUAGGGCAGAGACUUGUGUGAUGAUUGAACAGCAGUACGUCUUUGUGUGCAGGUGGGAUGCCACCUUUGAAGGGCUGCUCAGUGUCCUGGGACUCUGGUUUCUCUUGUCAUGUGUCAGAGAACAGAAAUGACCAAGAGAAAAUGCAUGGAUUGUGUGCUUCACAUAUACUAUGGAACUCUGGGAAGCAUGCUUCUAAAAACUCAAAAAGAAUAAGCUCUGUGCUUGAAAGUGUGUCCAUAAACGAAGCAUGGCUGGAUGGAGUUUCUGGUGACGGGAAUUAACACCAGAACAAAGACCUGUCCAAGAUGAAGCAUUACUUCCUCUAUCCUGUGCCCACCCCUUGCAUCAAACCUGAACAAACAGGGUGAAGAACUGAAAUCUUCC
Long non-coding RNA from Poecile atricapillus (Black-capped chickadee), 392 nucleotides. RefSeq lists it as uncharacterized. The record is from RefSeq and is a predicted model, not a curated record. NCBI's taxonomy places the organism in Eukaryota, Metazoa, Chordata, Aves, Passeriformes, Paridae. The transcript is spliced from 3 exons.